Long non-coding RNA from Capsicum annuum, 3401 nucleotides. RefSeq lists it as uncharacterized. The record is from RefSeq and is a predicted model, not a curated record. The transcript is spliced from 2 exons. NCBI's taxonomy places the organism in Eukaryota, Viridiplantae, Streptophyta, Magnoliopsida, Solanales, Solanaceae.
CACCUAAAUUUUCUUAAACAAUAGUUGUUUCAUUUUUUCUACCCUGACCUUAUUCCAAGCACUAAAAAUUGUAAAUUUUCCAGAACCGAUCAUUUCUACCAAGUUGCAUCCCAAUCUAUAAGUUCUUCCCCUACUUUUAUUUUUUCAAAAAAAUAAGAUCUGAUCUCUUCGUGCAAUAAUUGGUUCAAUAAUAUCUUAUUCCAAUUGUUACCCAGUAUCAAAUCUGUAACAUCUUCAACUCCUUCAUGCAUCAAAUUAUUUAUAGGAAGUAAAUAAUGCAAAGCUCCUAGUUGUGUCUAAUUAUCAUACCACACACUAUCACUCCCUCUUAUAGGUUCCUACCAAAUAUCCUGAUCAAAAAAUCUCUUGCUUCAAUUAUGUAAUUCCAAAUUUGUGAACCUCCUCUCCAUUCAUCAAUUUAAGGUCUAUUCUUUUUACAUACGUUAUCCACAUAAACUUAGCCUAUAGGGAUUUCUUAGUUUGGAAAUUCCACCAAAGCUUGGCAUAUAAAGCUUGGUACAUAUCAAACAGAGACCAGAAUCCUAAGAUACCCUUUUCUUUAGGACAACAAACUUCUGUCCAAGCCACCCAGUGUCUGUUCCUUUCCUUCUCUUUAAAAUUCCAUAAGGACAUAGCAAAGAUUUUAUAAAGGUCAUAAAUGGCCCAUUUUGGUGGAACAGUAGCAUAAAGUAGGUAAAUUGGAAUAUUUUGUAAAAACUAUUUAUCAAAACAUGUUUUCCAACAAAAGAUAAUAAUUUACCUUUCCAUGCUUGUACCUUAUUCUGUACUUUCUUCAUUAUUUCAGUAAAAUGAUUUUCCUCUUCCUAGCAUGUCUAAUUGGAUACCCAAGAUAUAUUAGAGGGAAUUUUUCUUUACUGAAGCCAUUAAUGUCUUCGAUCGCUUGAACAAUAGUCUCAACAGUCUUAUGAAAAACAUAAAAACAACUUUUGUGUUUAUUACUCAUUUGCCCUGAUAUCUUUUCAUAUUUCUUAAGACUAUCCAUGGCCAUCUGCAAUGUUAGUUUCUCCUCAAUGAAAAAUGAUAGUAUCAUCAGCAUACACUAGAUGAUUAAUUCUAUCAUGCCAUUUUGUCUUCCAAACCCCUUAAAGUCAUUAUUCUUAAAUAAACUAUUUAAAGUUCUCGACAAUACCUUAGUAGUUAGGAUGAAAAGGGCUAGAAAUAAAGGAACUCCUUGUUUGAGACCUCUGGUAGAAUGAAAUAAACCAUAGGAUUAUCCAUUAAUUAGCACAGAAUACCAGUUAUUAGUCACAAAUCUCCAAAAAAAAAUCCAUCAAAACCCAUUCUUUCAAGCACUUUAAUCAAGAAUCUCUAGUCUACUCUAUCAUAUGCUUUGCCCAUAUCCAACUUAAUCACAACAUUAGUUAGUUUUCCCCUUAUUCUUAUAUCACAUAUUAUCUCUUUGACCAAUAAAACAUUCUCUGUAAUACGUCUUCCUUUCACAAACCCUGACUGGUUUGGAGAAAUAAUUUUGGGAAUUACUUUCUCUAUUCUAUCAUGAAUGAUUCUAGACAGUACCUUGUUAAAAAAAUUGCUCAAACUAAUUGAUCUCAAGUCAGAAAAAAAAACUACAUAUUCUCUUUUUGGGCAGUAGGACCAAGUUAAUAUGAGUAAUUGACUUUGGAAAAGUACAUCCUGCCAAAAAAAAAGCAACCACAACUUCACAUAUGUCAGAUCCCAUAAUACCCCAUCAAGAUUGAUAAAAUUGCCCUGUGAAACCAUCAGGACCACUAGUACUAUCACCAUUAACCUCAUAAACCACGUUUUAAUCUUUUCUCCUUUUGGCAUGGAAUUUAACAAUUGAUUAUCCCUAGAAAUAACUAGUGUUGGAAAAAGUUAAGCAAAGUUAAAUCUACCACUUCAGUCUCAGUAGUGAACUAUUUCUGAUAAAAUUUAAUGGCCUCAGCAGCAACUUCUUCCUUUCCUUCAGCACAACCCCAUCUUCCUUGCCAAUUCUAUUUAGGUGCAAUAUUUUUCUCCUACCAUUAACUAAGUUAUAGAAAAACUUAGUGUAUUUUUCACCUUCAACAAACCAUUUUACCGUUACUUUCUUCCUCCAAUACUUUUCUUCAUAGUGAAGGUAAUUUUUUAAUUCAGCCUAUGCAAGUUGAAGUAUCAUUCUAUUUUCUGGAGAAAGAUUUUAUCCAAAUAAAUAAUCCUUACAAUAUCUUCUGUAGUCAUCAACUAAUUAAAAAUAUCACCAAACUUUUCUCUACUCCAUCUUGAAAGUGCCAGCUUAGUAUUUUUCAUUUUUUGUUUCAAUUUAAUGAAAUAGUUACCCGAUUCUUCACACUUUCAGCUGUUAGUUACCACCCUUUUGAAAUCCUUAUCUUCUGUCCAAAUUUUUUGGAAUUAAAAGGGCUAAAAAAUAUGUGUAUCUAAUCCCCCACAUGAUAACGAAAUAGGAGCAUGAUUAGAACCAGUUCUGGCUAAAUGUUUAACUUUAACAUUCACAAACAUCCUCAACAACCUUUGAUUCAUCAGACAUACCUAUCCAACCUUUUAAAUAUACAAGCACCAUCAAUUCUACUAUCCCACCAUGUGAAUGAGAUCCCUUUAAAUUUGAUAUCAAAAAGUUCACAAGAAUUUACUCAAAAUGCAAAAUCUUAAUAUUCUUGAGGGUAAAUAGGCAACCCUCUAAUUUUCUCAUCCUCAUCCAAAAUGACAUUGAAAUCACCUCCUAACAACCAUGGUAAUCUCAUACUAUCACUUAAUGAGUAAAUAUCAUUUGGGAAAUCUAAUUUGCCAAUAACAUCACACUUUGCAUAUACUAUUGUGGUAAUAAUUUUUCUUCCAUCCACAAAGUUGAUCUAAGUAGUCAAUUGUUGAUCAGAAUUAACACUGUGACCUGAAUAUCUUGCUGAGAAUAAAUCCAUCUUUUUCAUUUUGAUUAUAGUUUGAAUAUUGCAUACCAAACCUUGUCUUGUACCUUUGAAUCUGGCAAGGUGCUUGAAAAGGUUCCAUUAAUGCAAUAUAGAAAAAUUUAUUAUGUCUGUGCAAUAUUUGAACUUUCUGAAAAGCAUGAUGAGCUCUCACAGAUCUAAUAUUCUGAAAGAGAGCUUUGCAACGCAGUUGGAACUAGCCUUGACCCCCUCAAUGGUUUCUUUUUUUCCACAAGAGCCCAAACAACUGGAUCACCAGCAACUUUACCACUGAUAAGAUCUUUGGAGGGAAAUCAUUAUAUCUUGGUCCAGCAACCUCCUGUUAAUAAAUCUCUGGUGUUGCUACAUCUCGUUGUUGGCCCUCUUCAUUUUUCUUAUUUUCUUUUGAAUUAUUGUACUGCCUUCUAAGAUUAGGAUUUAAUUUCCUACAUCCUUUCUUAUUAUGACCUUGUAACCUACAUUCUUUGCAACACUAUGGCAAUGCAUCAUAUUGUAUUCUAA